RNAcentral lists this long non-coding RNA (584 nucleotides) under Physcomitrium patens. RNAcentral describes it as "long non-coding RNA (PPAT_LNC005241)". Lineage: Eukaryota; Viridiplantae; Streptophyta; Bryopsida; Funariales; Funariaceae. The record is from RNAcentral.
AGGGAGCAUGGCCUCUGUGCCUGCAUAAUAGAAUUUUUAAUGAUGAGCAUGAUUUUGGAACACUAUUAACUGAAGUUUCCACAAUGACAUCUGCAAAAACAUCCUUACUUACUGUCUGCUAUUAAAUCCAUCUCAAUGUCCACUGAGCUGCAAGGAAGCACAAUUCAUUGCCAAACUAAGCAAGUCAUUCCCAAAACUGGAGGCUCAAGUACCAACUAAAACAACAGCUUAUGUGUUGUAUGUAGAAGGCAAGAUUGUUAUGAAGUUGUGCACAUGCCAAUUGGGGGCAAUGCAACCAUCCAUGUUAGCAUUGUUACCAGGACAUCUGUGUACAACCAUGAGCAGAAAUUGUGAAUUGUGAAGUAUGAUAGAACAUGCUUGAAACAUAUUAGUCUUAUGUUCAUUUACCUCUGAAACAAGUGUGCAAUUAAGUAUUCUAAUGAUGAUCAGAUCUCUCAUUUCUUAAUAUAUUCUUCUAAUACAUUAGAUACUUCAUAACCACUUUAACAAAAAUUAAAGUAUUCUCCUUGUUGGAAUUAGAAAUCCAAUAAUGGAAACCAUACUGAUUUGUCUAAAGAAUUAAC